Molecule: ribosomal RNA, 908 nt
Filed under: uncultured bacterium
Lineage: Bacteria
Description: bacterial SSU rRNA
Rfam family: Bacterial small subunit ribosomal RNA
Source: RNAcentral
AGAGUUUGAUUCUGGCUCAGGAUGAACGCUAGCGGGAGGCUUAAUACAUGCAAGUCGAGGGGUAACAGGGGCUUCGGCCCGCUGACGACCGGCGCACGGGUGAGUAACGCGUACGCAACUUGCCUCCAAGCGAGGGAUAGCCCCGGGAAACUGGGAUUAAUACCUCAUGUGAUUAUAUAGCUGCAUGGCUGUAUAAUUAAAGUUCCGGCGCUUGGAGAUAGGCGUGCGUCCCAUUAGCUGGUUGGUGAGGUAACGGCUCACCAAGGCGACGAUGGGUAGGGGGCGUGAGAGCGUGGCCCCCCACACGGGUACUGAGACACGGACCCGACUCCUACGGGAGGCAGCAGUAAGGAAUAUUGGACAAUGGAGGCAACUCUGAUCCAGCCAUCCCGCGUGCAGGAUGAAGGCCCUAUGGGUUGUAAACUGCUUUUGACAGGGAAGAACCCCCUCCUUUUAAGGGGGGCUGACGGUACCUGUGGAAUAAGCACCGGCUAACUCCGUGCCAGCAGCCGCGGUAAUACGGAGGGUGCGAGCGUUAUCCGGAAUCACUGGGUUUAAAGGGUGCGUAGGCGGCGCAGUAAGUCAGGGGUGAAAGGCUCCCGCUCAACGGGAGGACUGCCUUUGAUACUGCUGUGCUUGAAUCAGGUUGAGGGCAGCGGAAUGUGGCAUGUAGCGGUGAAAUGCAUAGAUAUGCCAUAGAACACCGAUUGCGAAGGCAGCUGCCUGGGCCUGGAUUGACGCUGAGGCACGAAAGCGUGGGGAGCGAACAGGAUUAGAUACCCUGGUAGUCCACGCCCUAAACGAUGUUCACUCGAUGUUGGGCCUACGGGCUCGGCGUCCAAGCGAAAGCGUUAAGUGAACCACCUGGGGAGUACGUCGGCAACGAUGAAACUCAAAGGAAUUGACGG